Grammomys surdaster is the source of this 3208-nucleotide long non-coding RNA. RefSeq lists it as uncharacterized. The record is from RefSeq and is a predicted model, not a curated record. The transcript is spliced from 2 exons. NCBI's taxonomy places the organism in Eukaryota, Metazoa, Chordata, Mammalia, Rodentia, Muridae.
CGUGGUAAAAAAAAUGUGACACGUUUGUUUUUACAUGUUUUGUCUUUCUUUCCAUGGGAUGAAGACUCUGUCACACCUGGUGUGAGACCCUUGCCUCCUCUGUCUAGUGUCCACAAGGUUCACAAUGCACAGGGCUGAUGUGCUCAGGGGCAGACUCAGGUGUCACAUGCACAGAUUCACUGUCCUAAUGCCUCAGUCUCUCACUCCCUCAGCUCAGCUCACCUGUCACCUCCCAUCAACACAUGUGUGAGCACAGGGCAGUGGUGUUGGGAGGAACUAAAUCAUGUCUACUACAUUACCCUGUUGUCAACAUACAAACACAUGUUUGAUGAACAAGGUAGGCCUUUUAUUCUAAAAUUACAUGUUAUGAGCAUGUGAGCAUUAUAUGCGUUCAAUGUCUUUGUGACUGUGUCAGAUCCCCGGAACUAUUGUUACAGACAACUGUGAGCUGUGGUGUGGUUGCUGGGAAUUGAACCUGGAUAUUCUGGAAGAGCAGCUGGUGCUCUUCACUUCUGAGCCAUCUCUCCAGCCCACUAUAUUUGAUAAAUAAGGAAUACAGAGUCAUAUGUUAUAUAUUUCUAAGGCCUACUCUGCUUCACAGUGAUAUUUGUCUUGGUUUAGUCCUUGUUCAUCUUGUUAAGCUUUAGCUAUUUGGAGAAACUGAGUCAUACAAAUCUGUGCUAUUCUAUAAUGGUAAACUAUAAAAGAUACCAGUCUCCUAUGGACUAAAGUUUAAGGCAUUUAUGUUUUAUUUAGAUGAUAAAGGAUCUUCACCUCAAAUUACUAAGGCUCAAACAUAACAGAGAUAAAAUCACAAAAUCAUAACCUUAUGAAAGUUACUGCCUUAUUGUAAACUUUUGAAGACAAUUGACACAUUCAAGUUAAGAACAGGAACAAGGUGUAUUUAGCCUCCUGUAUAUGUUUCCAAAGUUAAAACUAAAACAAGUUACUAGAAAGAAGGAAAGUUUGUUCAGUGUAGAUAUCCUUAUUAGCAAGCAGGCCUCAAAACUUUUCAGAGAUCUGCUGAAUAUGGCAUUUAAAAUGUUUAAUGGACAAGGCUUACUAUGACAGACAGAGACUCCCAGCUACUAGAAGUGACCCCCAGGUCUUCAGAGCAGAUGAAAGGGCAGAGAAGAAUUCCACCUUGAGAUUACUUUAAAUGUGACAAAGCCAGCCACUGGGUGAGAAUCUUCCCUUCAUCUCUCUGCCACCAGGACCCUGUUCAAACUGUGAAGGAGUAGGACACUGGGGAGUUGCUUUCCUUGCUUAGCUUAGACAAGGUAGGCUGCACCCCCAGGGUCCUCCUCCACUGGACAGUCGUUGGAUCUUCUGGAGCAGGCAGGGAACACUGAUGCUGCCCUGGAUCCUCUGUUCCCAGUGAAAUCAAGACUACCACAGCAGAACCUUCAGUGAUUGUCUAGACUCUCACUUGCUCCGGUGGAUAUCUGGCUGUGACAUGAGGUCGGACAGGAGCCUCCUCCUCAGGUAUAAUCAAUAAUCGUACGAUGGUGACAAUUACAUCGCUCUGAACAAAGACCUGACAACAUGGACAGUUGCAGACUCAGCCGUGCAGAUCACCCUAAGCAAGUAGGAGAAGGCUGAUGCUGCAGAGGAACACAGGGCCUACCUGGAUGGCAUGUGCCUGGAGUCGCUCAGCAGAUACCUGGAGCUCCGGAAGGAGAAGCUGCUAUGCACAGGUGCAGGAAUGCAUAGCUGAGAACUUCUGCUGUUUCUGUUGGUCCCUCCUGCUGACUGGAGCCUAGGCCUGCCUGUCUCUGCUAGGUUGUGUCACCACUGUUGCUAACCUGACUUUACCAAACCAGACUGCAGGUGUAUCUGUGAGAUGUUUGCAAGUGGACAGAGCUGCUGCUGCUGACCUGUGAACUGAACUGCUGAUUUCCAGAUAAUACAGACAGGAGUUGCUCCAAAAAACAAUUUCUAAACAGGUCCACUCCCCCAUUCCUCAACCAACACCAUGUACUUUCUUUUCCACUACCUCUGGUUGGUGGUGAGUUAAAAGGAAAGUUAAAGUCUUUAAGAACCAUCAUUAAAAAUAGGAUUUGAAAAAACUAAAGUUACACUGGUCCAGCAGGCAGAAGGGGGCAUCUGAAUCCUGUCAGCUCCAUGCUGCCCUGAGCUGCAUCUCCUCACUUCCACACUGAGAAUAGGAAUCUGAAUGUGAACUUGAUUGUUAACAUCCUUGACCUGAGAGUUGAUUGACAGGUAAACUGAGGGACAGAGAAUAUUUAGUGUUUCCUGGAGAAAAUAAUUGGCAGAUGGAGAAUCUUCCAGAAUCUGUGUCACUAAGCUGUGUGUAUCUAAGCUGUGUGUCACUAAGCUGUGUGGAACAGGAUGAGGUGGUGGGGGCUGAGUGUGAACAGCCGUCUGUGAGGAUGGAAUUCAUGCCCCCUGCAAAAAAUCUAUCAUACAAAGGUUCUUUAACCCCCUAGACUGGAGAGGUAUGUGCUCGCUACUUUACGUAGUCUUGCACAGUGGGAAGAAUUGUAUUGGAGAUGAAUGUUAGGUGCAAGAUAGAAAAAAUGACACAUGUAAACAAGAAAUAGGACCCCAACAAGAACAACCUCCCUCCAUUAAUAAAUUGGAACUAUAGCCAAUUGUUCGGCCAGUGUAGUUUCUCCACAGGUAUUUAGUAAUCCUUAUUCCCUGAUGGAUGCUUUAAGCAGGUCUGUUCAUGUACACUCCAGGCCUGGCACCAUUUAGCCCCCUAACUGCCUUCUUGUACCUAAAGUCAAUACCUCAGGACCAGCUGAUAGGGUUGAGUGGAGGGAACUCCUGCAACUAUAGCUAACAGCCCCACCAUUUGUGAAGAAGCUGUAGCUGGUGCAUUAAAAUCUAUUUUAAUUCAGGCCUCUGUAUAUUUCAUUACUUGGAUGACCUCUUAAUAUGACAAGCUAAAAGGCAAGAUGAAAACCUAACCUCAGAGAAUCUUAAACAACAAGCCAUGAAAGCCCUAACAGAAAGAGGCUUUAUAUUAUCCAAAGUUAAGAUUCAACUUGUUUGGGAUGGAGAGAUGGCUCGACAGUUAAGAGCACUGACUGCGGUUCCAGAGGUCCUGAGUUCAAUUCCCAGCAACCACACUGUGGCUAAAAACCAUAUGUCUUGGGAUCCAAUACUCUAUUCUGGUGUCUCUGAAGAGAGCUACAGUGUACUCAUAUAUGUAAAAUAGAAUAAAUCUUUAAAAAUGAAA